GAUGAACGCUGGCGGCGUGCUUAACACAUGCAAGUCGAACGAGAAGUGAAGACGGAAACCUUCGGGCGGAAGGCUUUAUUUCGAGUGGCGGACGGGUGAGUAACGCGUGGGUAACCUGCCUCAUACAGGGGGAUAACAGUUGGAAACGACUGUUAAUACCGCAUAAGACCACAGCACCGCAUGGUGCGGGGGUAAAAACUCCGGUGGUAUGAGAUGGACCCGCGUUCGAUUAGCCAGUUGGCGGGGUAACGGCCCACCAAAGCGACGAUCGAUAGCCGAUGUGAGAGGAAGACCGGACAAAUGGGGAAUGGAAAAAGGCCAAAAACCCUACGGGAGGAAGAAGGGGGGAAAAUUGAAAAAGGGGGGAAACCCUGAUGAAGGGACGCCGGGGGAGGAAAAAAGUAUUUGGGUAUGAAAAGCUCUAUAAGAAGGGAAAAAAAUGACGGUACCGGAGAAAGAAGCCCCGGAUAACUACGU
RNAcentral lists this ribosomal RNA (477 nucleotides) under uncultured bacterium. RNAcentral's name for it is "partial 16S ribosomal RNA". It matches the Rfam family "Bacterial small subunit ribosomal RNA", at positions 28 to 506 of the family's 1533-position model. The record is from RNAcentral.